GUUUUUGUAGUUGAAUAACAACGGUGGUUUUUCGGACCAAAGGUCCUGGUUUAAGCCCGGGUAAGAAUA
Molecule: transfer RNA, 69 nt
Filed under: Iguana delicatissima
Lineage: Eukaryota; Metazoa; Chordata; Lepidosauria; Squamata; Iguanidae
Description: tRNA-Glu
Rfam family: tRNA
About the family: Transfer RNA (tRNA) molecules are approximately 80 nucleotides in length. Their secondary structure includes four short double-helical elements and three loops (D, anti-codon, and T loops).
Source: RNAcentral